UCUCCGUAGGUGAACCUGCGGAGGGAUCAUUACCGAGCUCAUGCCCUUACGGGUAGAUCUCCCACCCUGUGUUAUUAUUACCUUUGUUGCUUUGGCGGGCCGCCAGGCUCCGGUCAGGCUAUCGGCUUCGGCUGGUAAGCGCCUGCCAGAGGACCCUAUAUCCUGAUUAUUAGUGUCGUCUGAGUACUAUAUAAUAGUUAAAACUUUCAACAACGGAUCUCUUGGUUCUG
Molecule: unclassified non-coding RNA, 230 nt
Filed under: plant metagenome
Description: partial contains small subunit ribosomal RNA, internal transcribed spacer 1, and 5.8S ribosomal RNA
Source: RNAcentral